Long non-coding RNA from Zonotrichia leucophrys gambelii, 1357 nucleotides. RefSeq lists it as uncharacterized. NCBI's taxonomy places the organism in Eukaryota, Metazoa, Chordata, Aves, Passeriformes, Passerellidae. The record is from RefSeq and is a predicted model, not a curated record. The transcript is spliced from 3 exons.
GCUGUGUGACCGAGGGUGGCUGGGAAGCAGCUGAGCUCCAGGGCAGAGGCUCAGGGCUGAGGCGUGAGUAGAGCCUGUGUCCUGGGGGCAGCAGAGCCACAGCCUCCCAUCUUCAGCUGCGUUUCAGAGCUCUGGAAAUGCCUCCCUCAGCUGUUAGCAGGCUCAGGGGCUGAGGGCACACAGCAGCGAGGCACAAACACAUCUCAGCACCCAGCAAUCACUACCUUUCUGAGCGUCUGUGUUCAUGUGCCACAUGCCUCCCUGGAACACAUAAAAUGAAGAGCAAACCUACCCAAGAUCAGGGUUUUCAAGACUGCAAAUUAAAAGGAUGGAGGUGUACAUGAGUAGCUGGAAAUCCAACUAAGCUCUGCAGUGUUUUGGCUUCUGUACGCUAUCUUGGUAACUUCAUUCCAGACUUGCCAAAAACCAGAUCAAUACUAUCCAUAGUUUGGUGCCACAGCUGCUUCUUUUCACCUGGGUUUCUUCAUAAUGCUUUUAUUCAGUGGAGAGAAACACAAAACUAUGUGAGAAUUCUGCAUGGCUUUGAAUCACCAACAAGAUAUGCACAGAAAUCAUAGCAAUUACAUAGAAAUCUCCCUACUGAAGAAUCUGGAUCCUACAGCUGAGCAGGAUUUUUCCAUCAGUCCCUCUAAAGUGAGGCUAUUGAAGUUCUCCCACAGGGCACAGCUGCACAGAGCAGUGACAUGAGGUGACACUGGGGCUGCCCCAGCCCUACACCCCACUCAGAGGGUGAAGAAAGCACAAGCCAAGGGCAGGGUGACACCAGGGCAAACAUCAAAGGCACUUUGCUGCCCCCAGGCUCUGAGCAUCUGUAGCUCAGGAUAUUUCCAGAGCUGAUGUAAUUUCUCUGCUCAGUAAUAUAGAAUAUAUCUCUAUUCAAGUCCUGCUGCUGUCUUCAGUGUGCAUAAGCUGCAAGUAUUCACAGCAGUCUCUGGGAAGAAACUCCAUAAGUCCGCUACAUGCUGGAGGAAUCACCACAUUAUUUUGUUUGUUUUGCAGUGCAUUUCCUAUCCCAAAGUUUUCAUAUGGGAAGAGUCAGAGCAUAAUUAAUCUGUUCUCCACCUUCUCCAUCUGAGAACAUGCACUGUUAAGCACACACACAGCAGAAUAUUAAGCACUUGAACUCCACUGGGAACUAACAAAACCUUAGCCCAAACCUAAACACUAUGUCACCUGCAAAUGCUUUGCUGAGCUUGGGAGCUCUGGCAGCAUUGCUGUGGAGCUGAGCUACACUAAUUCUGUUCUGCUUUAAAGCAGAACUCCCUGCUCCAAACCUUCAUUUAGGUGUAGAGGUUUAAAAUGUCCCUUCUAAACGUCUGCUUUCCUUGAGACAAAC